AGAAGUUUAGGAUAAAUAACAGUCCAAGGGCCUUCAAAGCCCUAAGUAAAUUAGACCAUUUAACUUCUG
This 69-nucleotide transfer RNA is filed under the name Eospalax rufescens. RNAcentral describes it as "tRNA-Trp". The record is from RNAcentral. Lineage: Eukaryota; Metazoa; Chordata; Mammalia; Rodentia; Spalacidae.